This 1022-nucleotide ribosomal RNA is filed under the name Triticum aestivum (bread wheat). RNAcentral describes it as "partial small subunit ribosomal RNA". Lineage: Eukaryota; Viridiplantae; Streptophyta; Magnoliopsida; Poales; Poaceae. The record is from RNAcentral.
GCUGGUAGAGCGCGCCCACUGCGCAAAGUAGACUGGGGUCGGAGGGUAGCGACAGAUAGGGAGGAGGUUGGAAUAGAAGAGGGGUCGAGAUCGCGGAGCGGCGUCGUGGAGGAAGAGGGAGCGAAGGAAGGGGAUGUAGAGUCUAGAAAGGAAAAAGGAACCGGUACUCUCGUCCUCUCGUGCAGGAGCAGGGAACACUGGCGGGUCCAGCAGGGAGGGGAGCGAGCGCACUCCACGGAGGAGGUUGGCGUGGGCCACUACCACGGGGCUCGGCGAACUUCGUCCGGUCGGUCGUCGGCGGGUACAAGGAGGAGAGUGAGCCGAAAAGAGAGAGGAGGAGAGAGUUAAAAACGGUACCUGUUGGGAGCGUCGUGGGGUGGGCGGUAGAGGCCAGUGGAGAGGCAGCUGGAGCACGAGGAGGCGGAGCUAGGUAGGUGGCGCGGUGGCCUUAGUGCGGCCUCGUCGGCCUAGGCGUCGGAGGACGGAGCAGACAGCAGCCCUCUCGGCGGAGUGCGUCCCUUCCUACACCGGUACCUUGUGUUAGGCGUCGUGUGGCAAGAGCGACGGCCUUUGGAGAUGCAGCCGGAGCUCGAGGAGGCGGAGCUAGGCAGGCAAGCUGGGCGGCGGCGGAGGACGUAGCGGACAGCAGACCUCCUCCUGUAGGCUCUCAUCACGGGCAAGCAGGCGGCGCACCUGACCGAGUCGGGUCGAGCGGGCGAUUUCGGCAGCUCGUAGAACAAAAGGACGGCAUAGCUCCGUCGUGAUGAGACGGAGCGGGGCGUGGCGGCGACAGAGGAGGCGGAGGUGGGCGCGGCGGGGAGAAGAGGGGCAGGUCGAAGGCGUAGUGCCUCGCGUCGGUGGCCUAGCGGCGCUUACCGUUCCUCGUCGUACCCGCACCCCAGCUCAGCCCCUGCGUUCGUACCAGUAAUAGGUGAAUUUUCCUAACGCCCAACUUAUGGGGUUUGGUGUCCCAGAAAAAACAUUUUACACGCUGCUGCAUGCUGUCUUUGGCUUAAACGAAA